Molecule: ribosomal RNA, 253 nt
Filed under: uncultured bacterium
Lineage: Bacteria
Description: partial 16S ribosomal RNA
Rfam family: Bacterial small subunit ribosomal RNA
Source: RNAcentral
UACGGAGGGUGCAAGCGUUAUCCGGAUUCACUGGGUUUAAAGGGAGCGCAGGCGGAUUUGUAAGUCAGUGGUGAAAGGCUUAAGCUUAACUUGGGAACUGCCAUUGAUACUAUAAGUCUUGAAUGUUGUUGAGGUUUGCGGAAUGGGUCAUGUAGCGGUGAAAUGCAUAGAUAUGACCCGGAACACCUAUUGCGAAGGCAGCUUACUAGGCUGUAACUGACGCUGAGGCACGAAAGUGUGGGGAUCAAACAGG